RNAcentral lists this ribosomal RNA (295 nucleotides) under uncultured microorganism. Its description in RNAcentral is "partial 16S ribosomal RNA". It matches the Rfam family "Bacterial small subunit ribosomal RNA", at positions 505 to 796 of the family's 1533-position model. The record is from RNAcentral.
GUGCCAGCAGCCGCGGUAAUACGUAGGGGCGCAGGCGUUGUCCGGAAUUAUUGGGCGUAAAGAGCUUGUAGGUGGCUUGUCGCGUCUGCCGUGAAAACCCGAGGCUCAACCUCGGGCGUGCGGUGGGUACGGGCAGGCUAGAGUUGUGGUAGGGGAGACUGGGAACUCCUGGUGUAGCGGUGAAAUGCGCAGAUAUCAGGAAGAACACCGAUGUCGAAGGCAGGUCUCUGGGCCAUUACUGACACUGAGAAGCGAAAGCAUGGGUAGCGAACAGGAUUAGAUACCCUGGUAGUCC